UAAAGGAGCUCUUAAAGGAAUUCCAGCAAUAACCCAUUUUUUAGCAUCCAAUUCCAAGCCAGAAUCAACUUGAGGCUUCCCUGAGAACCCCAUGUUUUGGAUCCAAAAAACAAAGAAAACCCUUCGAGUAAUAUAGGAUUAGGAGGCUAGCCUGCAGGGAAUAAGGAAUAAAGCGUAAAGAGAAUAAAGAAAGAGGAGAGGGGGG
Molecule: unclassified non-coding RNA, 205 nt
Filed under: Hevea brasiliensis (rubber tree)
Lineage: Eukaryota; Viridiplantae; Streptophyta; Magnoliopsida; Malpighiales; Euphorbiaceae
Source: RNAcentral